RNAcentral lists this ribosomal RNA (253 nucleotides) under uncultured bacterium. RNAcentral describes it as "partial 16S ribosomal RNA". It matches the Rfam family "Bacterial small subunit ribosomal RNA", at positions 524 to 776 of the family's 1533-position model. The record is from RNAcentral.
UACGGGGGGGGCAAGCGUUGUUCGGAAUUACUGGGCGUAAAGGGCUCGUAGGUGGUCAACUAAGUCAUACGUGAAAUCCCUCGGCUUAACCGGGGAACUGCGCCUGAUACUGGUUGACUUGAGUUUGGGAGAGGGACGCGGAAUUCCAGGUGUAGCGGUGAAAUGCGUAGAUAUCUGGAGGAACACCGGUGGCGAAGGCGGGUCUCUGGGCCGAUACUGACGCUGAGGAGCGAAAGCGUGGGGAGCGAACAGG